UAGCGGCGAACGGGUGAGGAACACGUGAAGAAUCUGCCCUCCACUUUGGGAUAACACCGGGAAACCGGUGCUAAUACCGAAUAUUGAAACAUAAGUGGCAUCACUGAGUUUUGAAAGAAUUUCGGUGGAGGAUGACUUCGCGGCCUAUCAGCUAGUUGGUGAGGUAAUGGCUCACCAAGGCAACGACGGGUAGCCGGCCUGAGAGGGCGACCGGCCACACUGGGACUGAGACACGGCCCAGACUCCUACGGGAGGCAGCAGUGGGGAAUAUUGGGCAAUGGAGGAAACUCUGACCCAGCGACGCCGCGUGCGGGAUGAAGGCCUUCGGGUUGUAAACCGCUUUCAGUAGGGAAGAAGCGAAAGUGACGGUACCUACAAAAGAAGCACCGGCUAACUAUGUGCCAGCAGCCGCGGUAAUACAUAGGGUGCAAGCGUUGUCCGGAAUUAUUGGGCGUAAAGAGCUCGUAGGUCGUUUGUUACGUCGGAUGUGAAAACCUG
This 498-nucleotide ribosomal RNA is filed under the name uncultured Actinomycetes bacterium. Its description in RNAcentral is "bacterial SSU rRNA". It matches the Rfam family "Bacterial small subunit ribosomal RNA", at positions 93 to 604 of the family's 1533-position model. The record is from RNAcentral. Lineage: Bacteria; Bacillati; Actinomycetota; Actinomycetes.